This 777-nucleotide ribosomal RNA is filed under the name Pseudomonas sp. AaD26b. RNAcentral describes it as "bacterial SSU rRNA". It matches the Rfam family "Bacterial small subunit ribosomal RNA", at positions 26 to 799 of the family's 1533-position model. Lineage: Bacteria; Pseudomonadati; Pseudomonadota; Gammaproteobacteria; Pseudomonadales; Pseudomonadaceae. The record is from RNAcentral.
AGAUUGAACGCUGGGGCAGGCCUAACACAUGCAAGUCGAGCGGAUGAAGAGAGCUUGCUCUCUGAUUCAGCGGCGGACGGGUGAGUAAUGCCUAGGAAUCUGCCUGGUAGUGGGGGACAACGUCUCGAAAGGGACGCUAAUACCGCAUACGUCCUACGGGAGAAAGCAGGGGACCUUCGGGCCUUGCGCUAUCAGAUGAGCCUAGGUCGGAUUAGCUAGUUGGUGAGGUAAUGGCUCACCAAGGCGACGAUCCGUAACUGGUCUGAGAGGAUGAUCAGUCACACUGGAACUGAGACACGGUCCAGACUCCUACGGGAGGCAGCAGUGGGGAAUAUUGGACAAUGGGCGAAAGCCUGAUCCAGCCAUGCCGCGUGUGUGAAGAAGGUCUUCGGAUUGUAAAGCACUUUAAGUUGGGAGGAAGGGCAGUAAGCGAAUACCUUGCUGUUUUGACGUUACCGACAGAAUAAGCACCGGCUAACUCUGUGCCAGCAGCCGCGGUAAUACAGAGGGUGCAAGCGUUAAUCGGAAUUACUGGGCGUAAAGCGCGCGUAGGUGGUUUGUUAAGUUGAAUGUGAAAUCCCCGGGCUCAACCUGGGAACUGCAUCCAAAACUGGCAAGCUAGAGUAGGGCAGAGGGUGGUGGAAUUUCCUGUGUAGCGGUGAAAUGCGUAAAUAUAGGAAGGAACACCAGUGGCGAAGGCGACCACCUGGGCUCAUACUGACACUGAGGUGCGAAAGCGUGGGGAGCAAACAGGAUUAAAUACCCUGGUAGCCCACG